This is a long non-coding RNA of Sapajus apella (tufted capuchin), 592 nucleotides long. RefSeq lists it as uncharacterized. The record is from RefSeq and is a predicted model, not a curated record. The transcript has 2 exons. NCBI's taxonomy places the organism in Eukaryota, Metazoa, Chordata, Mammalia, Primates, Cebidae.
GUGCAUCCAGAUGCCAGGCUUUGAGCCACUAGGAGUAAGCACUGCACUGUGGACACUCCGCUGAGCUGGGGGUUAGGGUUAGGGGAGUGUGUGUGUGUGUGUGUGUGUGUGUGUGUGUGCGUGCACAUGCACACCAGGUGUAGGGAGUUCUUUUCUUAUUAACUGAUAGAGCAGGACCCUUUAAAUGGAAAUAUCCAGUGCCAAAACCAGUAUCCAUCAGGCACACAAUGACACCAUUACACCCAGCUUAAAUUUGGGAAUUUGCUAGGUUUGGAAAAGUUAAAUUGUAUGCAAUUGAACAAGCCUCUUACCUUCAAGAAAUCUGCACCUUGUGAAGAAAUACACAUAACUGACCAGAGAUCAUGGGCUAUAAUAGAGGCAAAAUAUUUCACAGGAAGGGGAAGGCAUCCCAGAAAAAGGAAUACCUGAGAAUUAGAAGGAUUUCAGAAGGUGGAGAGAAUAACAAAGAUUUGGAGAUCUAAAAGUGCAGGCACAGGGGAUUUGAGGAGGGUAAGUGUACAAAUUGUGUGUGUGUGUGUGUGUGUGUGUUAGGAUGAGAGGAAGAAAUAUAUGGGUGUGGCUUGUUUUAUCU